This 253-nucleotide ribosomal RNA is filed under the name uncultured bacterium. RNAcentral describes it as "partial 16S ribosomal RNA". It matches the Rfam family "Bacterial small subunit ribosomal RNA", at positions 524 to 776 of the family's 1533-position model. The record is from RNAcentral.
UACGGAGGGUGCAAGCGUUAUCCGGAAUCACUGGGUUUAAAGGGUGAGUAGGCGGAUAAAUAAGUCAGAUGUGAAAGCUUUCAGCUUAACUGGAAAACUGCAUUUGAUACUGUUUAUCUUGAAUCAAUUUGAAGUUAGCGGAAUGAGUCAUGUAGCGGUGAAAUGCAUAGAUAUGACUUAGAACACCAAUUGCGAAGGCAGCUAGCUAGGAUUGUAUUGACGCUGAGUCACGAAAGCGUGGGGAGCGAACAGG